RNAcentral lists this ribosomal RNA (120 nucleotides) under Scophthalmus maximus (turbot). Lineage: Eukaryota; Metazoa; Chordata; Actinopteri; Pleuronectiformes; Scophthalmidae. The record is from RNAcentral.
GCUUAUGGCCACACCGCCUGGUUCACGUCCGAUCUCGUUUGAUCUCGGAAGCUAAAAUAGGUUGGGCCUGGUUAGUACUUGCAUGGGAGACUGCCUGGGGAAUACCAGGUGCUGUAAGCU